CAAUUUAAACAACGAAGAGUUUGAUCCUGGCUCAGGAUGAACGCUAGCGACAGGCUUAACACAUGCAAGUCGAGGGGCAGCGGGGGUAGCGAUACCCGCCGGCGACCGGCGCACGGGUGAGUAACGCGUAUGCAACUUGCCUAUCAGAGGGGGAUAACCCGGCGAAAGUCGGACUAAUACCGCAUGAAGCAGGGGCCCCGCAUGGGGAUAUUUGCUAAAGAUUCAUCGCUGAUAGAUAGGCAUGCGUUCCAUUAGGCAGUUGGCGGGGUAACGGCCCACCAAACCGACGAUGGAUAGGGGUUCUGAGAGGAAGGUCCCCCACAUUGGUACUGAGACACGGACCAAACUCCUACGGGAGGCAGCAGUGAGGAAUAUUGGUCAAUGGGCGUAAGCCUGAACCAGCCAAGUCGCGUGAGGGAUGAAGGUUCUAUGGAUCGUAAACCUCUUUUAUAAGGGAAUAAAGUGCGGGACGUGUCCCGUUUUGUAUGUACCUUAUGAAUAAGGAUCGGCUAACUCCGUGCCAGCAGCCGCGGUAAUACGGAGGAUCCGAGCGUUAUCCGGAUUUAUUGGGUUUAAAGGGUGCGUAGGCGGCCUUUUAAGUCAGCGGUGAAAGUCUGUGGCUCAACCAUAGAAUUGCCGUUGAAACUGGGGGGCUUGAGUAUGUUUGAGGCAGGCGGAAUGCGUGGUGUAGCGGUGAAAUGCAUAGAUAUCACGCAGAACCCCGAUUGCGAAGGCAGCCUGCCAAGCCAUUACUGACGCUGAUGCACGAAAGCGUGGGGAUCAAACAGGAUUAGAUACCCUGGUAGUCCACGCAGUAAACGAUGAUCACUAGCUGUUUGCGAUACACUGUAAGCGGCACAGCGAAAGCGUUAAGUGAUCCACCUGGGGAGUACGCCGGCAACGGUGAAACUCAAAGGAAUUGACGGGGGCCCGCACAAGCGGAGGAACAUGUGGUUUAAUUCGAUGAUACGCGAGGAACCUUACCCGGGUUUGAACGCAUUCGGACCGAGGUGGAAACACCUUUUCUAGCAAUAGCCGUUUGCGAGGUGCUGCAUGGUUGUCGUCAGCUCGUGCCGUGAGGUGUCGGCUUAAGUGCCAUAACGAGCGCAACCCUUGCCACUAGUUACUAACAGGUAAAGCUGAGGACUCUGGUGGGACUGCCAGCGUAAGCUGCGAGGAAGGCGGGGAUGACGUCAAAUCAGCACGGCCCUUACAUCCGGGGCGACACACGUGUUACAAUGGCGUGGACAAAGGGAGGCCACCUGGCGACAGGGAGCGAAUCCCCAAACCACGUCUCAGUUCGGAUCGGAGUCUGCAACCCGACUCCGUGAAGCUGGAUUCGCUAGUAAUCGCGCAUCAGCCAUGGCGCGGUGAAUACGUUCCCGGGCCUUGUACACACCGCCCGUCAAGCCAUGGGAGCCGGGGGUACCUGAAGUCCGUAACCGCGAGGAUCGGCCUAGGGUAAAACUGGUGACUGGGGCUAAGUCGUAACAAGGUAGCCGUACCGGAAGGUGCGGCUGGAACACCUCCUUUCUGGAGC
Molecule: ribosomal RNA, 1540 nt
Filed under: Parabacteroides sp. AT13
Lineage: Bacteria; Pseudomonadati; Bacteroidota; Bacteroidia; Bacteroidales; Tannerellaceae
Description: 16S ribosomal RNA
Rfam family: Bacterial small subunit ribosomal RNA
Source: RNAcentral